GAUGAACGCUGGCGGCGUGCCUAACACAUGCAAGUCGAGCGAACAGACGAGGCGCUUGCUCCUCUGACGUUAGCGGCGGACGGGUGAGUAACAUGUGGAUAACCUACCUAUAAGACUGGGAUAAUCUCGGGAAACCGGAGCUUAUACCGGAUAAUAUAUUGAACCGCAUUGUUCAAUAGUGAAAUUCGGUUUUUCUGUAACUUAUAGAUGGAUACGGGCCGCAUUAGCUGGUUGGUAAGGUGACGGCUUACCAAGGGAACUAUGCGUAGCCGACCUGAGAGGGUGGUCGGCCGCACGGGAAGUGAGACAGGGUCCAGACGCCUGCGGGAGGCCACAGUCGGGAAUCUUCCGCAAUGGGCGAGAGCAUGACGGAGCAACGCGGAGUGAGUGGUGAAGGUCUUCUGAUCGUAAAACUCUGUUAUUGGGGAAGAACAAAUGUGUAAGUAACUAUGCACGUCUUGACGGUACCUGGUCAGAAAGCCACGGCUAACUACGUG
Molecule: ribosomal RNA, 497 nt
Filed under: uncultured bacterium
Lineage: Bacteria
Description: partial 16S ribosomal RNA
Rfam family: Bacterial small subunit ribosomal RNA
Source: RNAcentral